GGCUACGAUGGGUAGGGGUUCUUAGUGGAAGAUCCCCCACACUGGCACUGAGAUACGGGCCAGACUCCUACGGGAGGCAGCAGUAGGGAAUAUUGGUCAAUGGGCGAAAGCCUGAACCAGCCAUGCCGCGUGCAGGAUGACAGCUCUCUGAGUUGUAAACUGCUUUUGUACAGGAGCAAAACAAUCCCUGCGGGGGUUCUUGAGAGUACUGUAAGAAUAAGCACCGGCUAAUUCCGUGCCAGCAGCCGCGGUAAUACGGAAGGUGCAAGCGUUAUCCGGUUUUAUUGGGUUUAAAGGGUGCGUAGGCGGCUUAUUAAGUCAGUUGUGAAAUCCUAGUGCUUAACGCUAGAACUGCAAUUGAUACUAUUAGGCUUGAGUAA
This 380-nucleotide ribosomal RNA is filed under the name Cardinium endosymbiont of Encarsia inaron. RNAcentral describes it as "bacterial SSU rRNA". It matches the Rfam family "Bacterial small subunit ribosomal RNA", at positions 272 to 649 of the family's 1533-position model. Lineage: Bacteria; Pseudomonadati; Bacteroidota; Cytophagia; Cytophagales; Amoebophilaceae. The record is from RNAcentral.